UUUCCGUAGGUGAACCUGCGGAAGGAUCAUUAAUGUAACCGGACUGUUCGGGUGCCGUAAAACGCAUCUGUUCGGAAAGGGUGAUAUCAUACACCCUAUGUUUAUUUACUUUUGUUGCUUUGGCGGGCCGUCCUUUUAGGCAUCGGCCCUGGCUGAUCGUGCCCGCCAGAGGACCUAAACUCUUCUAUCAGUGAUGUCUGAGUACUAUAUAAUAGUUAAAACUUUCAACAACGGAUCUCUUGGUUCUG
This 248-nucleotide unclassified non-coding RNA is filed under the name plant metagenome. Its description in RNAcentral is "partial contains small subunit ribosomal RNA, internal transcribed spacer 1, and 5.8S ribosomal RNA". The record is from RNAcentral.